AGCCUGUGAUGUUUUCAUUUUAAGAGUAGUGGACAGAAGUGAUUUCUGAAAACUCCAUCCUGAGGCU
Apteryx haastii (Great spotted kiwi) is the source of this 67-nucleotide small nucleolar RNA. The record is from Ensembl. Lineage: Eukaryota; Metazoa; Chordata; Aves; Apterygiformes; Apterygidae.